CCUACGGGAGGCUGCAGUGAGGAAUAUUGGUCAAUGGACGGAAGUCUGAUCCAGCCAUGCCGCGUGCAGGAAGACGGCUCUAUGCGUUGUAAACUGCUUUUGUACAAGGGUAAACCUGAAUACGUCUAUUCAGCUGAAAGUACUGUACGAAUAAGGAUCGGCGAACUACGUGCCAGCAGCCGCGGUCAUACGGAGGAUCCAAGCGUUAUCCGGAUUUCUUGGGUUUAAAGGGGGAGUCGGCGGAUUGAUAAGUUAGAGGUGAAAUGUCCGAGCUUAACUCGGGAACUGCCUCUAAUACUGUUGAUCUAGAGAGUAGAUGCGGUAGGCGGAAGGUAUGGUGUAGCGGUGAAAUGCUUAGAGAUCAUACAGAACACCGAUUGCGAAGGCAGCUUACCAAUCUAUAUCUGACGUUGAGGCACGAAAGCGUGGGGAGCAAACAGGAUUAGAUACCCCUGUAGUC
RNAcentral lists this ribosomal RNA (460 nucleotides) under uncultured bacterium. Its description in RNAcentral is "partial 16S ribosomal RNA". It matches the Rfam family "Bacterial small subunit ribosomal RNA", at positions 338 to 795 of the family's 1533-position model. The record is from RNAcentral.